AUACGUAGGGUGCGAGCGUUGUCCGGAAUUACUGGGCGUAAAGAGCUCGUAGGUGGUUUGUCGCGUCGUCUGUGAAAUUCCGGGGCUUAACUCCGGGCGUGCAGGCGAUACGGGCAUAACUUGAGUACUGUAGGGGAGACUGGAAUUCCUGGUGUAGCGGUGAAAUGCGCAGAUAUCAGGAGGAACACCGGUGGCGAAGGCGGGUCUCUGGGCAGUAACUGACGCGGAGGAGCGAAAGCAGGGGUAGCGAACAGGAUUAGAUACCCGGGUAGUCCAUGCCGUAAACGGUGGGCGCUAGGUGUAGGGGUCUUCCACGACUUCUGUGCCGUAGCUAACGCAUUAAGCGCCCCGCCUGGGGAGUACGGCCGCAAGGCUAAAACUCAAAUGAAUUGACGGGG
This 398-nucleotide ribosomal RNA is filed under the name uncultured bacterium. Its description in RNAcentral is "partial 16S ribosomal RNA". It matches the Rfam family "Bacterial small subunit ribosomal RNA", at positions 523 to 918 of the family's 1533-position model. The record is from RNAcentral.